GGUUGUAGCUCAGUGGUAGAGCACUCGCCUAGCACAUGUGAGGCACUGGGUUCAAUCCUCAGCACCA
Molecule: transfer RNA, 67 nt
Filed under: Marmota monax (woodchuck)
Lineage: Eukaryota; Metazoa; Chordata; Mammalia; Rodentia; Sciuridae
Rfam family: tRNA
About the family: Transfer RNA (tRNA) molecules are approximately 80 nucleotides in length. Their secondary structure includes four short double-helical elements and three loops (D, anti-codon, and T loops). Further hydrogen bonds mediate the characteristic L-shaped molecular structure. tRNAs have two regions of fundamental functional importance: the anti-codon, which is responsible for specific mRNA codon recognition, and the 3' end, to which the tRNAs corresponding amino acid is attached (by aminoacyl-tRNA synthetases). tRNAs cope with the degeneracy of the genetic code in two manners: having more than one tRNA (with a specific anti-codon) for a particular amino acid; and 'wobble' base-pairing, i.e. permitting non-standard base-pairing at the 3rd anti-codon position.
Source: Rfam by way of RNAcentral